This 148-nucleotide small RNA is filed under the name Pongo abelii (Sumatran orangutan). RNAcentral's name for it is "Metazoan signal recognition particle RNA (ENSPPYG00000037057.1)". The record is from Rfam by way of RNAcentral. Lineage: Eukaryota; Metazoa; Chordata; Mammalia; Primates; Hominidae.
GCUGGGUGCAGUGGUGUGUGCCUGUAGUCCCAGCUACUCAGGAGGCUGAGGGAGGAGGAUUGCUUGAGCCCAGGUGUUUGAGGCUGCAGUGAGUCAUGAUUGCACCACUGCACUCCAGCCUGGGUGACAGAGUGAGACCUUAUCUCUA